GUGGUGUGGAGGCUGAUCUACAUCAUGUAUGAUACCGUACUCGUAAAUUAGGGCAGAAAGAGCCGCACCAACAAAAGGUCCCAGCCAGUAGAUCCAAUGGUUCCUCCAUCUCCACCCCACCAAAGCUGGCCCGAAGGCCCUCGCAGGGUUCAUCGAUGCUCCUUCGAACGGCCCUCCCACCAGUAUGUUAGCCCCCAAGACGAACGCGAUAGCAAGAGGUGCAAUGGUGCCCAAGCUGCCCCUUUUCGGAUCAAAAGCCGUCGCAUAAACUACGUAAACUAGUCCAAAUGUCAGAAUUAUCUCCAUCAGAAGUGCAUUCAAGUUCCCUUCUCCAGCAGCCACCGAGAACCCCAUCGGUCUCUACAAAAUCCAAAAUCAAAUUACAGCAUGCAUGAUUAAGGCGCGAUGGGCAACAUUGAGGAAUUAAUACGCUAAAAACAACAUUUACAGGAACUAGAGCUAUGAAGUUAGAUGCAGGCAGC
Molecule: long non-coding RNA, 482 nt
Filed under: Coffea arabica (coffee)
Lineage: Eukaryota; Viridiplantae; Streptophyta; Magnoliopsida; Gentianales; Rubiaceae
Description: long non-coding RNA (CARA_LNC003215)
Source: RNAcentral